Molecule: ribosomal RNA, 253 nt
Filed under: uncultured bacterium
Lineage: Bacteria
Description: partial 16S ribosomal RNA
Rfam family: Bacterial small subunit ribosomal RNA
Source: RNAcentral
UACGUAGGGGGCAAGCGUUGUCCGGAUUUAUUGGGCGUAAAGAGCGUGUAGGCGGCCAUGUAGGUCCGUUGUGAAAACUCGAGGCUCAACCUCGAGACGCCGAUGGAAACCAUGUGGCUAGAGUCCGGAAGAGGAGAGUGGAAUUCCUGUUGUAGCGGUGAAAUGCGCAGAUAUCAGGAAGAACACCCGUGGCUAAGGCGGCUCUCUAGUACGGUACUGACGCUGAGACGCGAAAGCGUGGGGAGCAAACAGG